Molecule: long non-coding RNA, 2509 nt
Organism: Esox lucius (northern pike)
Lineage: Eukaryota; Metazoa; Chordata; Actinopteri; Esociformes; Esocidae
Source: Ensembl
CUAAAACCAAAAGUGCAGAUGUCUUUUUGAAUAAAGCAAAUUCCAUGAGCUAACUAACUCAAAACAGUUGAAACACUGGGGUCUGAAAAUAUUUGGAAAGGAUGUCAAUCUUAGUCCACUUCGCAAUGCUUCUUCUUUUUUGCAAAGAUUCCGUAACUUGUGCAACCCAGGAGAUACAGCUCGAAGUCGUUAAUGCCGCAGUCGGAGAAUCACUUGAAUUGAACUGCACCUAUAACUGUUCCGGUGGAUUUGUCCGGGGACACUGGAAGAAAGUCCCUCAGUGUAAUGAUUGCCCUCGGCUAAUGGAAACAAAAGGUCGGACCAUGAAUGGUGACCUCUGCACGUUAUCCUUGUCUUUUCUGAAUGUUUCUAAAGAAGAUUUUCAGUACAACUAUACCUGCUUUACUGAAGAUCAUGGAAGUGAAGUAUUCCAAUACAAGACAGAGCGGCUGGUAUCACUGCAGGAACAAGCGCAACCUAGUGCCCGAACCACAAAAGUCACUACUGAUGUAUCAGUGACAGUAUUACCUAACCAUGAAGACUUCACAAAUAAUGAGGAUUCUCGAGGCAUCAAGUUGUUGGCAACCAUCACGGUUAUAGUGGCUGUGUUGUUGGCAUUCGUGGCUGCCUACUUAUGCAUGAGCCACAAUCAAUAUGUCAAAGGAAAACGUGCUGAUGGCAAGACAUCAAAAGCGGGACCGGUUGUUGCUAGGCCAACAGCAACAGGCACAUUCUCAACCAGUUGUGAGAGGGUGGCAGUAAGAAUAACUCCAGCGGAUUGCCAGAGUGAUCAGGAGGUUCCAUAUGCUGACAUCAUGAUUACUGUCAGAGGUGCCAGCACACCAGAGCUUACACAGAUUUCCUACCUGGCUCCAGGGGACCAUAAACAGCGGUGGAGAGAGGAGCCAGGCCCCAACCUUGCAGCCAGGACCCACCUUCAGGUCUCCCGCUCAGCUGACAGGCUGCAUGUCCACCCCCGAGAGGUUUCUAGGAAGAUGAGCACAAGCUCUGAGUACGCUGUCAUCACCUAUUCUUAACCACUGGGGCUGGAGAAGGAAGGAGACGAGUACAGGCAUUAAGGGGAGAGUAGAGACGGGUAGAUGCCAUUAGUCCUUGGCUGUUAUAUUUGAAUAAAAUGUGUGAAAAAAAGUUUUUUCCCUGUGAACCGCAUGUACGUACAGUGCAGUAAGAAUUGGGCACACAGAAGGAUUUUACACUUUAGACUCCAAAUGUUUGCAUUUGAAAUCGAACAAAUACUAUGUUAUAGAAUAGAUUCCCAGUGUUAUUUAUGGGUGUUUGAGAAUACCUGUACAGAUUCACCAUUAACAAAUGACAACACAAAGGGAAAUAUCCAAAUUAGGCCCUUAUAUUUAGUAUGUGUGGCUUGUUUCUCCUUUUAAAAGAGAGAGAAUAAAAACGCUAGAUACUAUAUACUUAUCUGGUUUACAGAAAAAUUUCCAUUGCUUGAAAUUACACCGGCAUGUUUGUGACAUAGCACUUUUUACACAUAAUGCAACUAUUUCAGGGCAGCACAGUUAUUUGCAUAAUUGGAUUGACAGGUGUUUCCUGUUAGUCAGGUUAUUUAUGAGAGCUUUCAAUGUCUACACUUGAUUCAAGGCUCUGCAUUUGCCUUUGGAUUCUGCUAUUGCUGUCGGUCAACUGGAUGAAGAAAUGGCCUUGUCAAUGAAAGUCAAUGACACCAUUAUGAGCCUGAAAAUGUAGGAAGAAAUAAACGAAAAUCACCCAGAAUAUUAGCCGAAAGGCUCAACACUGCCAUUACUGCUCUACAUUGGCAGCACCCAAGCGUGUUCGCAUGUUGUUUAUUUCCGAUGGCUGAAGCACACUCGUCUUGAAAAUGGAAAUAAGAAAACGUUGAUUCCUGUGGGUUUCUGGUGUAGCAGGUACAACGUCAUAUGGACACAAUGCUGAUAGUAAAGCAAAUCAAGCCUUGGAUUGUAUCUGCGCCAUUAGACAAUGGUUUAGAACUACAUUUUUAAAAAACACUGGUGAGUUCAGCAAUCGCAAAUAGCCUAGUAGGCCAAGGAAUAUCUCUACAGUGCUUGACCAAAGAGUGCUUGUCACCAUAAUGAAGGAAAUUAAAUAUUUUCUACAAAUCAGAAUCAAUCACCAGGAGUGAUAGAGAAAUGUCUAGUGGGUUCAAUGUGUUGCAGAUUUUGAAGAAGACUCAUAAAUGGAUAAAUGCAGCUUGAGCUCAGUUAAACUGUUGUACCCCAAAAAAGAUCAAAUGUAUAUAUCAUGGAUGGUCAGCCCACACAGCUCUGUCUAUGAGGUAACAGUGUUAUUUCACCAGGCAAACCAUUUAGCUUCCAACUGAAAGAUAUUUAUUGAACGAUUAAAGCAUCUAAAAAUGCACUGUGUUAACAUUGCCUAAAAAAUGAACAUCCACUAAUAAAGGUUUAUUUUGUGUUAAGGUUUAUUGUAACUGCUUUUAAAACUACUUGAAAAUAUAAUGACGUGUCUAUUUGGUAUUAAAUAAAAUAUUCUGGAU